CCCCUCUCAGGGUCACAGCUGGAGAGUUUCCAGUGCUCUACCAAUCAUGACUACAGGAGGGAGAGUCGAGCAGAGGCCUACCCAUUGCAUUCCUAGCUUGGCCAGUGGCUGGCGAAUGGAAGGCAGUCUGCUACAAGU
Ornithorhynchus anatinus (platypus) is the source of this 138-nucleotide small nucleolar RNA. The record is from RefSeq and is a predicted model, not a curated record. Lineage: Eukaryota; Metazoa; Chordata; Mammalia; Monotremata; Ornithorhynchidae.